UUUCAUAUGAUAUAAUUAUCCACGGAAGAGUUGAGCUGGUGACUUCUAGACUAUAAGGACGUGAUGCUUAUGGUGUAAAAGCUGUAAAAUCAGACUCUAAUGGAAAGGAAGUCAACACGUGUCUGUUUCAGAUGCGUUACAAUUAAUGCUAGCAUUUGGCACUUUUGUGAUCGUGCUAGUAGCAUUAG
RNAcentral lists this small RNA (188 nucleotides) under Ligilactobacillus apodemi DSM 16634 = JCM 16172. RNAcentral describes it as "Lactobacillus apodemi DSM 16634 = JCM 16172 Listeria sRNA rli28". It matches the Rfam family "Listeria sRNA rli28". The record is from Rfam by way of RNAcentral. Lineage: Bacteria; Bacillati; Bacillota; Bacilli; Lactobacillales; Lactobacillaceae.